GGGGGUGUAGCUCAGCUGGGAGAGCACCUGCCUUGCAAGCAGGGGGUCAGCGGUUCGAGUCCGCUCAUCUCCACCA
RNAcentral lists this transfer RNA (76 nucleotides) under Carboxydothermus hydrogenoformans Z-2901. RNAcentral's name for it is "tRNA-Ala (TGC) (tRNA-Ala-TGC-1-1)". It matches the Rfam family "tRNA". From Rfam's summary of the family: Transfer RNA (tRNA) molecules are approximately 80 nucleotides in length. Their secondary structure includes four short double-helical elements and three loops (D, anti-codon, and T loops). The record is from RNAcentral. Lineage: Bacteria; Bacillati; Bacillota; Clostridia; Thermoanaerobacterales; Thermoanaerobacteraceae. RNAcentral also lists the same sequence under 3 other names.